GGGUGGGCUGUGAUUAGGGUUGAUAGGGGGUUAAGGGUAGGAUGAUUUGAGAUGUUAUGAGUAAGGUGUGAAGAAGAAGUAGAAAGAGGGGAUCCAUGAGGUGGAUCUGGAGGAAUAGAAGGAAUAAAUCUAAUAUCAACCAACUUAUCUGUAAUAUUGUGAAAAACAGUGGUGAUGGCAACAUGUCUAGCAUCAUGCAACUCUUGAUGUUCUCUUAAUUUCUCCAUUAG
This 230-nucleotide long non-coding RNA is filed under the name Lupinus angustifolius (narrow-leaved blue lupine). RNAcentral's name for it is "long non-coding RNA (LANG_LNC000036)". Lineage: Eukaryota; Viridiplantae; Streptophyta; Magnoliopsida; Fabales; Fabaceae. The record is from RNAcentral.